This 681-nucleotide ribosomal RNA is filed under the name uncultured bacterium. Its description in RNAcentral is "bacterial SSU rRNA". It matches the Rfam family "Bacterial small subunit ribosomal RNA", at positions 8 to 694 of the family's 1533-position model. The record is from RNAcentral.
AGAGUUUGAUCCUGGCUCAGGACGAACGCUGGCGGCGUGCUUAACACAUGCAAGUCGAACGGUAAGGCCCUUCGGGGUACACGAGUGGCGAACGGGUGAGUAACACGUGGGUAAUCUGCCCUGCACAUCGGGAUAAGCCUGGGAAACUGGGUCUAAUACCGAAUAGGACCACAGGACACAUGUCCUGUGGUGGAAAGCUUUUGCGGUGUGGGAUGGGCCCGCGGCCUAUCAGCUUGUUGGUGGGGUGAUGGCCUACCAAGGCGACGACGGGUAGCCGGCCUGAGAGGGUGUCCGGCCACACUGGGACUGAGAUACGGCCCAGACUCCUACGGGAGGCAGCAGUGGGGAAUAUUGCACAAUGGGCGAAAGCCUGAUGCAGCGACGCCGCGUGGGGGAUGACGGCCUUCGGGUUGUAAACCUCUUUCACCAUCGACGAAGGUCCGGGUUUUCUCGGGCUGACGGUAGGUGGAGAAGAAGCACCGGCCAACUACGUGCCAGCAGCCGCGGUAAUACGUAGGGUGCGAGCGUUGUCCGGAAUUACUGGGCGUAAAGAGCUCGUAGGUGGUUUGUCGCGUUGUUCGUGAAAUCUCACGGCUUAACUGUGAGCGUGCGGGCGAUACGGGCAGACUUGAGUACUGCAGGGGAGACUGGAAUUCCUGGUGUAGCGGUGAAAUGCGUAGA